Molecule: long non-coding RNA, 425 nt
Organism: Phragmites australis (common reed)
Lineage: Eukaryota; Viridiplantae; Streptophyta; Magnoliopsida; Poales; Poaceae
Exons: 3
Source: RefSeq, a predicted model, not a curated record
CCAAUUUUGAACAUUUCGAUCCCUGGCUCAGUGACUCCCUGCCCGAUUUCGAUCCAAGCCGUCUUCUCUCUGCGGGAGGCGGAGGAGCCGCAGGCACAGGCGCGAGGCGGCCGCCGACUCAGGCUGCUCGGCGCUGCGGUUGACCAGGUCGGUGGAGGAGCCACCCAAACGGCGAGAGAGCCUCCCACGCGUCUCUGCUCUGGUCGGUGGUCGUCGAGCCACGGGCGCGGAGGAGGAGUGAACCGCGUGGGCACGAUUAAUCACCGGACCAAACAGGUUACAAUAUCCCUUAUAUCAUCCGUGAGUGCUGUUGAAACUAUUCCAGAUUCUUAGGACUCCAAACCCUGAGGAACCAGGAUUACGAGGAAGGGCAGCAAAGGGCUCCAGAGUGAGUACAGCUGAAGCUCUCAUCAAAUCCAGCAGCC